UACGUAGGGUGCUAGCGUUGUCCGGAGUUACUGGGCGUAAAGCGCACGCAGGCGGUCUGCUAAGUUUGGAGUGACAGUUGGCGGCUUAACUGCCAAAGUGCUUCGAAAACUGACAGACUUGAGGGCUUCAGAGGGACACGGAAUUCCGGGUGGAGUGGUGAAAUGCGUAGAGAUCCGGAGGAACACCAAAGGCGAAGGCAGUGUCCUGGGGAGUACCUGACGCUCAGGUGCGAAAGCCAGGGGAGCGAACGGG
Molecule: ribosomal RNA, 253 nt
Filed under: uncultured bacterium
Lineage: Bacteria
Description: partial 16S ribosomal RNA
Rfam family: Bacterial small subunit ribosomal RNA
Source: RNAcentral